Streptomyces atratus is the source of this 72-nucleotide non-coding RNA. The record is from Rfam. NCBI's taxonomy places the organism in Bacteria, Bacillati, Actinomycetota, Actinomycetes, Kitasatosporales, Streptomycetaceae.
GCCCUCGUAGCUCAGGGGAUAGAGCAUCGGCCUCCGGAGCCGUGUGCGCAGGUUCGAAUCCUGCCGAGGGCA